AAGGCGUCGACGGGUAGCCGGCCUGAGAGGGUGACCGGCCACACUGGGACUGAGACACGGCCCAGACUCCUACGGGAGGCAGCAGUGGGGAAUAUUGCACAAUGGGCGGAAGCCUGAUGCAGCAACGCCGCGUGAGGGAUGACGGCCUUCGGGUUGUAAACCUCUUUUAGCAGGGAAGAAGCGUAAGUGACGGUACCUGCAGAAAAAGCGCCGGCUAACUACGUGCCAGCAGCCGCGGUAAUACGUAGGGCGCAAGCGUUAUCCGGAAUUAUUGGGCGUAAAGAGCUCGUAGGCGGUUUGUCGCGUCUGCUGUGAAAACCCGAGGCUCAACCUCGGGCCUGCAGUGGGUACGGGCAGACUAGAGUGCGGUAGGGGAGAUUGGAAUUCCUGGUGUAGCGGUGGAAUGCGCAGAUAUCAGGAGGAACACCGAUGGCGAAGGCAGAUCUCUGGGCCGUUACUGACGCUGAGGAGCGAAAGGGUGGGGAGCAAACAGGCUUAGAUACCCUGGUAGUCCACCCCGUAAACGUUGGGAACUAGUUGUGGGGGCCUUUCCACGGUCUCCGUGACGCAGCUAACGCAUUAAGUUCCCCGCCUGGGGAGUACGGCCGCAAGGCUAAAACUCAAAGGAAUUGACGGGGACCCGCACAAGCGGCGGAGCAUGCGGAUUAAUUCGAUGCAACGCGAAGAACCUUACCAAGGCUUGACAUACACCGGAAACGUCUGGAAACAGUCGCCCCUUUUUGGUCGGUGUACAGGUGGUGCAUGGUUGUCGUCAGCUCGUGUCGUGAGAUGUUGGGUUAAGUCCCGCAACGAGCGCAACCCUCGUUCUAUGUUGCCAGCACGUUAUGGUGGGAACUCAUGGGAUACUGCCGGGGUCAACUCGGAGGAAGGUGGGGAUGACGUCAAAUCAUCAUGCCCCUUAUGUCUUGGGCUUCACGCAUGCUACAAUGGCCGGUACAAAGGGCUGCAA
This 970-nucleotide ribosomal RNA is filed under the name Microbacterium barkeri. RNAcentral describes it as "bacterial SSU rRNA". It matches the Rfam family "Bacterial small subunit ribosomal RNA", at positions 270 to 1252 of the family's 1533-position model. Lineage: Bacteria; Bacillati; Actinomycetota; Actinomycetes; Micrococcales; Microbacteriaceae. The record is from RNAcentral.